This 1023-nucleotide long non-coding RNA is filed under the name Ananas comosus (pineapple). Its description in RNAcentral is "long non-coding RNA (ACOM_LNC042906)". Lineage: Eukaryota; Viridiplantae; Streptophyta; Magnoliopsida; Poales; Bromeliaceae. The record is from RNAcentral.
CUUGUCCGGUUGACGCAUAUAACUAUAGUAGCAGUGGUCACUUGUAUAUCUUCAGUUCUUUCGUUACAUUGUCUUGCUACUAUAGUCUUGUUACAUGUAUACAUUCAGUUGUUCAUUACAGUAGCGGUAGUUGUACUUUCUUUCAUAUAUAUGUCUCUUUCAUUCAUUGUUAUUGCGACUGUAUUUUCUACUGACCCGCACUGUUGUUUAGCUCUUCCUGAUCCGGUGAGUACUCCUCGCCUUCAUCGGCUUGCGGUACCCACUGGGAGGGGAGACAUGUUUACAUGUUCUCACCUCCCCCACCAUUUUUCAGGUAUUUCAGGCGAUGAGUUUUGGGACGAGACGUGAGGUACGUUCGUAGCGGUCGAUAGAGCUUCCGACCCAGGUUAUCGAUUUAGUUUUUAUCCUUACUAUUCUGUUGUUAUAGCUUAGUUAGUUUAUAUGGUUCAGUUAGAUGAUCAUACUUGAUAUUUGAAUGUUGUGAGCUGGUUGAAUUUGUGGAUUUGUGGAAUUGUGGAUUUGGUUUAUGGACCUUCAGUUUUGGGAUGUUUGUAUACUUUGUGGUUCUCGGAUUUGUAUUUAUGGAUUUACGCAUCGUGGUUUUCUACCCCUCGAGGUAGUCGGUUUUCACAAUAGAGUUUCCGUGUGGGAAACAGUUUUCAAAAGGUUUUCAAAUGAUUUUUCAUGAUGAAUGAAUUAGAGUUCAAAAAUAAAAGCUUCUGUGUGGGGAGCACUUUUAAAUAGGAUGGUUGUUGUAUUGUGCAUUGCAUCAUCCAGCGCCUAAGGAGUGCUUAGAGGCAUGCAUCAUUCUAAGGAUUGUUAGCUGUAUGGAAAUGCAUAUCAUGAAUUGGUUGCUGAUUGGUAAUGUAGGUUGUGGUUGUGAUCCUGUUGUAUCCGUUGGUACGCCGUGCAGAUACAAAGGAGACUCUGCGCGAGUGGACAGAGGAACUUUGUAUUUGUGGCGGGUCUGUACGUCACGUGGGCCAGGUUUUUCAAAAAAAAAAAUUUGGUACAUCUUCCGCG